UUCCUAUUCUCAAACACCCUAGAUUCAACUAGAAAAUCAGUAGCAAAUCAAAUUCAUUACAAGUUGCAAAAAAGGACUUGGUGUUUCAUCCUCCAACAACCAACAAACUCCUCGCGGAUUAACAAGUGGAAGCUAGCAAAACCGUUGAUGGUGAUGAUCGUAUGAUAUCUGGUAGGGAUGACUAGAAACACGCUUAAGAAAUUACUAGAUUUGAAUAUUUAUGUUAUGUUGAACUCGUUGUACUUGUCUUUUAUUUGUCGUAAUUUGAAUUCCAUGUAUUGUAAUGACAAUUUGAGUUAU
Molecule: long non-coding RNA, 300 nt
Organism: Helianthus annuus (common sunflower)
Lineage: Eukaryota; Viridiplantae; Streptophyta; Magnoliopsida; Asterales; Asteraceae
Exons: 3
Source: RefSeq, a predicted model, not a curated record